UUUUUUCGUUUUAUUACCGCUUGGAGUUGCUUGAGCUGAGGGUCUUUCGGAAACAGCCUCUCUACCUCUCCGAGGUAGUGGAAAGACUGCGUACACUCUACCCUCCCAGACCCCACUUUGUGGGAUUUCACUUGGUAUGUUGAUGUUGAGAGCUUGUAUAGAGGUUAAGUAUCCUUUGCGGUUGUAUUAAAUCAUUUGCCUUGUCUCUUUACAGGCUGCUAACUAUUUAAACAUAAAGAGCUUGCUAGAUCUGACAUGUCAGACAGUAGCAGACAUGAUUAAGGGAAAGACGCCUGAGGAGAUACGCAAGACGUUCAACAUCAAGAAUGACUUCACUCCUGAGGAAGAGGAAGAAGUCAGGAGGGAGAAUGCCUGGGCAUUCGAGUGAAUUUGAGUCUGUUAAGCGUCCAUAUCUGUAGAUAGAUCUGCAAUAUACUUUAGUAGAUGCUAUGAAUAACUUAUAUUAGUAAGUGUGUGACUGUUGUUUCUCGGACCUUCUGGCUUUGGCUGUUGAACCUCUUUUUCUCUGUUAUGCCAUGGUUUCUUGGUAGCCGAUGUCCAUAUUCAUUGAUCUAUUAUUGGAAAUUCAUAUUGUUUCUUGUGUUUAUCAUCACUGGUGCAUUUAGCUUCUUUACUCUUUACUUAAAUGUAAAGGUCAAUUCCUUGGCUUGUGCAAUGGUUUGGUUGUGUUGUUUUCUGUCACAAAAGGAUGUCAGACUAGAGAGUGUAUGUGAGUAGUCUUACAUGGGCAUGGUAUUUGAAGGCACAUAAUGGCCUAGGAUUUGUAGGUUCUUACCUUGAAUCCCGCUUUAGACAGACUCAGUUGAGAGUUUGAGUGUCACUAAGAGAUGGAGAAGUCCACUUUGGUGGGUGAUACAGUGUGAUGGCCUUGGUCCAAUGAGUAGUGCAUUAUUAGAAGAACCAAUAUUUAUCAUAAAUAAGAGCUGUAUAUGUGAAGUUUGACCUUCAUAUCUUAUUCACGAUAAUUUCUUCUCUGAUUUUUUUCCUCAUUAAACGGCUGCACAACUAUACUUGGGUGUGGCAGGAUAAUUUGUUUGGUCUUAUGUUUCACUGUUCUUAUUAUGUGAUUAUUUCCAUGACAUGUUUGUUUCAGUCGGAUCUGGGCAACGUUACCUGUUGUGGCAGGAUGACUGGCCAGACCUUGUAUUCCUGUUGUUGUUUACACGACAUUAUGUCCCUGUUGGUUGAAGCUGUUGGUUGAAGGUAGCUGGUAUGGAAAUAUAUUUGCAAUUUUGCCAAUGUAGUUCGGUGAGUGAUGGUCAUUUUCUUUUUAAAAAUAAAAAUAAAAAUAAAAUCAUAAAAUUAUGAAUGGGCUAUGAGGAGAUCCUUUUCGUCAUUUAAAUAUGCGGCUAAUACAUGAACAAAGAAGAAAAAAAUAAUAAUACUCCAAACAGAGUAUACUCCAAGAUCAAAUGGUUCCGGCUAGUGACAUUAUGCGAAUGAAAAAUGGUUCUGCCAGGUGUUGAUUAUUGUGAUUUGAUGAACUUGACACAUGAGAUUGAUCUAUUUGAUACUUGUGAUUGAUCUACUUGAUACAUGCGAUAUAUUCAUUUGAUACUUGUGAUGGAUAUUCUUUAUCCUUGUUCGUUGUUGAACUCUGACUAUUGGAUUGUGAUUGUUAACCCUUGUGAAUUGUGUAUUGUGAAACUGUUAGAUUGGGUUGAUUUUUUGCAGGUUAUAGUUUGAGGAGGUUUGGUUGGGAUGAAUGGAGUACUUGUAUUCUAGCUAAUUUUGUCUUGUUUAUUUGGUUACUUAUUGAGUACCGUAUUGUUUGGUACUCACUCCUCAUUUUUACACUUGUGUAGGUUCUAAGUCUGGAGCCAUGUGAUUGUUCUUCUUCUGGUUACAUCUGAGGAAACAUUGAGAAGUAGUUGCUUGUCAUCUGGCGGGCCCUCUUGUUUCUUGUUUUAUAUUUUGUUCUAUUUGAGAAAUAAAGACAUUGAGACUUGUAAUUAUCUUUCAAUUUCGCACUUUAUACAUUAGUGGCUUGUACACGUGACAAUUAGUUUUGGAGGUUAUAUUAGAAUGAAUAAGUUUUCCACUCUUAUGUUAUUCUUGUUUUACUUUUCACAUAUUUUUGUUUCGUUGGGUUGAGGCUGACUUGUCUUGAUGGAAAUACACGAGUGUCAUUACGCCCAUUUUUGGAUCGUGACAAUCUCUAUCGAUUGUUGUGAUUUUUGACCUGCUUUCUAAAAAAAUGAAAAAAGGAAGAUAUGGGCAGUAAUUAAAACAGAAAUCAACUUGUGGCUAAAACUUACCCUUGAAAGCAAACAAAUAUGGACACUUCAUUGAAAGCUUGAAAAAAAAUGGAUUAUCACAUUUCUAAAGAAAGAAAGAAGGAAUGAUCUUCGAUGUACAUAUAGAUAUACUUUUUUAAAAAUAUUAUAAUGUAAGUGUAAUUGGUAAUGACUUUACUAAUUGAUGGCUAAAGAUUAAAAUAUCCUUUUACUUUCCUCAAUGGACUUCUAACGCACAUGUUAAAACUAGAAGUGUUCACAGGUCUAUUUAGAUUAGUUAUUGUUCAAAAUCAAAAUCAAAUCAAUUUAAUUAGUUUUUAAAUUAUUAAAAUCAAAUCAAAACUAAAUAAUUAAUAUAUAUAUAGUUCGAUUAUUAAUAAUACACUAAAAUAAAAUAAACGAUUCAUAGAGAAAAAACGACAACAAUGCAUUUGAAAGGAAUAAAUUGUUUUCGUGUCAUUUUAUAAUUCUUAUACCAGAACUACAAUUAUGUUAACUUCCUGCUUAUAUUGUUAACUAAUCCACUGUACUAUAACAACAACAACAAUAUCAUUCCCAUUGAAAUGCGCACACCUUACUACGGUUUCCAAAAGACCCCCUCCUCAAGUGUAUCGAACCCAUGGAAAAGAUGGAGAAAACAUGAGACAUAAAAUCGUAGCAAUAGUAAAAUGUAAUGAUAAUUGAAAUGCAAUAAACAACAAAUGGAAAGAACUAUUAGGGCACGACUGGUCCUAAGAAAUACAUUAUACCUCUACAUGACAAGACACCACUCUAACCCCUACUAGCCUUUUACCCUAAUACGCGUCUCUAGUUCUUCAUAUCUAAAGUCAUGUCCUAAGUAAUAUGAAGCUGCAACAUGUCAUUUUUACCCCUUACUAGCCUUCUACCCUAAUACGUACCCUUCCAAUUCAGUUUAACCAUCAUUCGGGGACGGAUGAUCCCACGGGAAAGAUGUAAAACCCCAAAAAUUCUAACACAAAUCUUAUCUUGAAAAUUUCUGUAGUCUGAUGGGCCCGUAGAAGUAUCUACAAACCAUAGACAGAUUCGUAGAACCGGGUCCUUGAAAGUUGGUUAUCAAGUCUAAGUUUCACGAACCAGACUACGGGUCGUAUAAGUUCCUACGGUCUCAUGGAAACUAAAUCCUGAAGAACACUCCCAGUAAGGUUCCUACAAAAGAGAAGGACAACCCAUCAAAGUUUCUAUGGGCCGUAGAAAGGGUCCUCAAUCCCCAACUUCAGGAAUCUAGAAAACUCAACAUGUUCCUAUGAGAGGGUCUACGACUCAUAGACUUUUGUACGGACCAUAAAUGGCCUUCCGUAGACGACUCCAGUCAGUUUUUAAGAGGGGUUAUUUUUCUCACUCUUUUUAAAUCUGAACCCCGAAGUUUUUACACCUAAUUAAUGUCACAAGAAUCCCUAGCACAAAAUUGAUUUGGAAGCUUCCUUACCAAUUAAGUUUUGAUAUAAGAUUCUACUUAGAUCAACUUCAAAUAACUAUAUCUCUUAGAUUAUGAAAAUUUAGGGGCUCAUAACCAUUUAGAUUAAAGUUAUUUGAGUCUUAUUUCCAAUACCACCAAUUUUACAUCAAUCAUAGUUUUGAGUAAUUAGUUAUGAUCAUUUUACUAACCUGAUACAGUACAAUGACGAAAUAGCCAACGGGGAAAUACUAAAAAGGAUCAUUUUUGUCUUUUUACCACAACACACCCUAAACAAAAAAUUUGACUCCUAAAAACCUCUAAACAAUCAGAUUUUCAUCUCUUAAUUCUCCAUUCUCUUCUCUCUCAAACUCCAAGGUAAAAUCCUAAGGAAAAUCAAAGCAUAAGACUUCCAUGCAAGAUUCUUUCGAAUCUUUUUCAAGAUUCUUCUUCAAGGUAAGUCUUUCUCCAAGAAUUUUAUUCUUUCAAACUCAAAUUCAUUCAUACAAUUAUGAAUCAUCAAUGAAAAUCUUAGUUCUUGGCCAUAGGGUUUCAAGAAACUAAUUCAAGAAUCUCAAGAAAGGUUUUCUUGAUCAUUCUUCUUCAAGCUAGGGUUUCAAACUUCAUCAAGAACUUUAUUUUUUCCAGGUAUGUAAGGUUAUUCAUAGUGUUGGAAUAGUUCGUCCUCAUGUCUUUCAUCUCAAUUCUAUUAGUGAAACGUUAUGUUUAGAGCAUUAUCAACAAUUUUUUUAAAAUUAAAAUUCAGUUGUGUUUCUUUUCUGAGUUUCAAUUCCUUAACCGUUGAGAUUCUGAUUUCUAUUAUGUAUAUUGAUUCUAAUUUUUUGUUUAUAUUUUGUAUCAUAUGAACCCUAUUUGUUUAUAAAAAUUACUAUAUGAGAUUUCUUAUACAUUAAUUUUGGACUUUAUAGGUAAGUCCAUAAGUAUAUGUUUUAAAUGCAUGUUUGGAAAAGAGUUUUUAAAGAAAGGAUCAAAUGAUUUCAUAUGUUUUAUUUGACAGUUCAGAAAGAGAAAGAAUAUAAUUGAUUUUUUGAAAAGUACUUCGGUAAAGAAAAAUAAAAGUAAAGUAAAGUAAUAGUCUCUUUUUCACUCAAUGUCCCAUAAAACUACGUAGCCAACGUACAGAUGGUUUUCACUACUUGUUCAUAUAUUGUUUUGCUUGAUAUGUAUUUAGUCAUCAAUUAUGUUAUUGUUUUAUUCAGUCAUAUUACACACUUGUAUAUUCAAUAUAUUGAUGUCAUUCGAUCUACAUCUUUUGAUGAUGCAGAUUCAAAUAUUUACGGUCAUCAACAGAUGUUCCGUUGACUUCAUCUACUCGUCAGCUUCUGGUGAGACCUCUCUGAUUUCUGAGGACUCCAUUUUUAUUGCUCUAUAAUAUUAGGAUUUUAAGGUGUUGUGGGUCUUGUCCCGAUACCAAUCUUUAGAUAGUAGAGACUUCAUGGGCAAACAGAGUUAGACGGUUUUCACUAUUUUACUUGGAUGUUUUACUAAACACUUAAGGGUCGUUUGGUAGAAUGUAUUAGGAAAAAUAACGCAUGCAUUAGCAUUGUGUAUUACUAGUACCUUGUUUGGUACUCUUUUCCAACCUAUGUAUAACUAAUGCUUGCAUUAGUUAUACACUCUAUUGUGUAUUAAUGUGUGUAUUGUUAAUGCCAUGAAUUUCUAGGUAUUAGCAAUGCAACGGUUUUAAUGCAUGCAUUAGAUUAUUAUUAUUAUAUUUAUUAUAAUUAUUAUUAUUAUAAUAAUUAUAAUUAUUAUUAUUAUAAUUAUUAUUAUUAUAAUUAUUCUUAUUAUUAUUAUUAUUCUUAUUAUUAUAAUUAUUAUUAUUUAUUAUAAUAAUAAUAAUUAUUAUUAUUAUAUUUAUUAUAAUUAUUAUUAUAAUAAUUAUUAUUAUAAUUAUGAUAAUAAUUAUAAUUAUUAUUAUUAUUAUUAUUAUUAGAGGGUAGUUUUGUCAUUAGUUAAUCUAAUGCAUGCAUUAAAACCAUUGCAUUGCUAAUACCUAGAAAUUCAUGGCAUUAACAUAAUAAUAAUAAUGUGGGGGUAUUUUUGUAAACAAAUAUUUUUUAAUAGUCUUUAUACAAGGCUUGCUAUUUCCAAUACAUCAAACCAAACAAUGUAUAAGAAAUAAUGCAAGCAUAACUAAUGCAUGCAUUACUAAUACAUCAUAUUCAACAUUAUUCUUAUACACUCUACCAAACGACCCCUUACUAUUUAUAUUAAGUAUUUUCAGACAUUGUUUUAAAAGUUCUUUAAAUAUUUUAAAUGCUCAUCUAUUAAAGCUUCCGCGUAUUCUAUUGAGUCAUAUGUGUCAUAGUCAGACAUGUCAAGUAUUUGCUUGCGGACCAGCAAUGAUUCUCGAGUGUCGGUCAUGUCCAAGGUGUAGGCUCAAGGCAUGAAAAUAAGACACAACUUCCACCAUAAGGAAAGAUGAGUAGAAGUUGUUAGGGAUCAUCAUCUUCUUCACCUAUGAAAUAUUAACUGAAUACCUACAACCAAACUAUAUCAAGUGGCAUAGCAAGAGUAGUAUUAGUACGAACAACACGUACUGGCAGGCAUCCAAACCCACCACAUAAUAUAAAGUAGACACCACCCAAAGUCUCUAUCCACGUGCUUCUACCAUCUCAGAUAUAAUACCUAUAAACUAGUAUACUUGAACCCAACCUUGUACCUCAUUAUUCUGCUAUCAACUUUGAUGUUUCCUAAGCUAGCCUUUUAUGUCACUUUAACACUUUCCAAAUUUGUCUGUGAUGUCACCCUAAUAUCAUAUCAUAAUAUAACCCUACUAUCACAUAGAGAUUACCGAAUACAAGGCCACCACUAAUGUCAAAUCAUAGACUAACCUUUCUACCACAUAAUGUCCACGAACAUAAGGUCAUCACUAGCCAUAUCAAUCAACUUGCUUGUCCUUCUAGGAAAGUACAUGACACUAGCGCAUUAGACCAACUCAUCUCUCUUGACUCACAUCCCCAUUAUCAAAUAAGUUCUAAAAAAUUAGACAACCAUGAUCAAUCACAUCACUUAACCAUAUACCAGUGUUGAACUUAACAACCACCAUUUCAAUAAAUCAAUCACAUCAUGAUAAAUAGAAAUUGAGUUUAGAAAUAAAUAAAGCAUUGAGACCUCAUAAACUUAACUCAAUAGUUAAAAUAACUAUGCAGAAUAACACCUAAGGAUUCAUUAUCAAUAAACAUUAAUUAUACCUCAACUAUCAUAAGUAACACAUAAUUUGGACUCUCAAUCCUCACCUUAGAUUUAUAUGCAUAACCCGCAAUACCAUAACCACAUGUAACAACAAUGGAGAAUAUGUAGGCUCUCAGCCACAAUAUCAUGAACAAUAACAUUUGGGUCAAACAAUGCAUAACUACAUGUCUCACCUGAUCACAAUGUAAUUAUUGGGCCCCCUCAUGAAAUCACAAUCACAUACAUGGUCCUCUCACGGAAUUCAAACUCAAGCUAUUAGUAUACCGACAUGGUACCCAAGCCAUCUAUAGUUAGUGUAUCAGUAUGGUGUCUAAAUCAUUCAUAGUUAGUGUACCUGCGUGGUACUUGAGUCAACCAACAAUCACGCAUAAUCACAUAGCGCAAUGGACAAGACCACUUGAAAAUCACAAAUCACAAUCACAAGUUCAUUGCAUGAGAUGACCAACAUGAUGUCAUUGCCUCCCUACCAUGCAUUGCAAAAAUGUUACUACAAGUAGUAAACAUGCAUACAUACUUAAAUCAGAAACAUACAACCAACACCUACAUGGGUAUAUCAAUAGCCUAACACUAGAUCCCUUUUUAUGAACACACAUUCGUUUUCUUGAUUAUCACAACCUUAGAAAUGGUUAUAACCUAACAAUAUCAUAACACUUAAUCUUACCAUUAACACCAAAUCACCCUUAAGAAAACUCAAGACUAACAAUCGAGAACUAGAGAACCACCGGUUUUCCUUAGUCAUUAUCUUUUCUUGCCCUGACAUCAAUAAAUAACAACAUUUAGUCAUCUAAACUCCAUACCCAAAGGUUUAGUCCCAUCAAUCCACAAAAUACCAUGCAGUAGUUAAGAAAACAUGUCUAACUACUCAAUUAAGGAAACCUAGCCUACCUGGGUGCCAAACAAUUGUUGUAGAAGUCUGAUCGCGAAUCUUUAACCCUUUGUAAAGCGUUAGCUUGUUCUUAGUCUAAAAUAACAAAUACAACACAACAUUCAAUCAAACAAUGACCUAAUAACUCCCGGAUUGCAACUAAAUCCUAACCCCCAAGCCAAUAUAUGAUCAUCUUCCCCAACUUAGGACUUUUUCCACCAUGAAAUUAUGUCAAAAGUUUCCUCCCAAGAGUAAUAACUUAGAUUCUAAGACUUAAGAAUCAAUGUACAAGGAUGUGUAGUAAUAAUGUUACCUUUAUUGAUGCUUUCCAUGGAAAAUCAAGUGUAACCUGCCUUAAAUUUCCCCUCCCAAGUCCAAGAACACAAAAUGCAAAAAAUAAGGUUUUUAGGGUUAUUUCUGCAUAAAACCCCGAUUCUAUCACUAAAGCAACGCCACUACAAUCGUGACUAACCUCAUUGUAGAGGUCUGAUCCCCAAAUCAAAUGAAAUCGAUUAAUUUAAUCGGCUUGAUUUGAUUUUUUAAUAUGAAUUAAUUUUUACCCUGAUCGUAAACACCCCGCUGCCCGCCCCAAUGGAAACCAUCCUUCCUAUCAUCAUCAUAUAUCAUAUAUCAUAUAUCAUCAUAUCAUAUCAUAUAUAUAUUAUAAGUGGGAAGCUUCCAAGUUAAAAGUUGAAUUACAAAAAUACCCUUCAACUAAAAAAAAAGAUAUUUUUAAUAAAUGGUUGUAAUAUAAUUUUAUACUUAUUAAGCUUUAAUUGUUUUGUAUAAUAAAAUAAUAAACGGAAAAUGAAAAAACCAAGGAGACGAUGAUCAGAUGAUAAUUUUUUAUACUUAAAAACUUUUGAUUUUGUGUUAGAGAAAAGAACCCUUUCCUUUCUUCAUUUAUUUUUUUAAAAAUAGACCAAUAACUCUAUAAAUUAUCUAAUCUUUCCUCUUCCCCAAUACCAAUAACUCUCUAAAUUAUCUAAUCUUUCCUCUUCCCAAUUUAUUACUCAGUUAAAUCGUAAGUUAAUAUAAUUAUAUAUAUUGAAUGAAAGAUGAAACAACUUCCUGAAUAUACCGUUCAUAUUCCUUUUUUGCACUUAGUAUAAUUUAUAUAAAUGCAUAUUAUCAUAUAAGGUAAUAGGACUGCUUCACUUCAGUUGCAACUUAAUAUUAUGAUAUAUUUUUUUGCCUCAUAUUCUUCGUAUUGCUUUCAUUUAUUUUUUUUCUAUUUCAUGUCUAAUGUAGUGUAUUUCUUUGCUUAUAACAGUUAGGUGAAUAAUUUUUCUUCCAUAUUAUUCUCAUUUGUAAAUCAUAAGGUGUGUGCGUUCAUAUUCUCAUUCAUUCCUGAUUUUUUUAAUAAUGUAGAUGCAUUCUUAGUUUGAAUUUAUUUUUACUAUUUAUUAAGUUUCGUAAUUGGAGUGGUAGUUCCUUCAAAGAAAUAUUAGUAAAUGACAUUUCAAAUAUCGUGAAAAAGAUAUUUAGAGUUGAUUUAUAUUGUAAGCACAUUUGAAUGUUGCAUAUGAUUAUGGUAGUCCCCCUUUCUCAUUUUCUAUCUCCAUUUUCACUCUUAAAAAGAUAAAAAUGAUUUCUUUCCUAAUGUAAUCACCAUUCUUUUGCCUUCUUUUUUCAUAUAAAAGUGAUAGUCAAUUCAUGAUUUUAUAAAAAGAACUACAAAAAUGGAUACGAGGAGAGAAAUGUGAAAUAUAUAUUUUGCACUUGAAAUAGGUAAUUGAUAUAUGUCGUGUCAAACAAAUAGUUAAUUUAAUUUGUAGUUUUAGUGAUAAAGUUUGAUUAAUUUUUAGAGUGUGUAAUUUAUUUUCACCAUUAUAAAUUAAUUACAUACGCUUUAAAUUCAUUGUAAUACAAUGUAAAUUACCUUGGUUAUUAUUAAUUAUUUCUAUUUUUCAUCUUCCUAUGUAUUAACUUUUCUCAUAAUCUAUUUAUUUUCCUUUGCCUCAAAACAUUGCUGUCAGAUAUAUAUAAGUUACUGAUAUUAUUUUGUUUCUUUUUGUUGUCUACUCUUUACCAUGCUACCAUAUCUUAUGUGUCAAUUUAGCUAUCAAACUUUUUUCAGGUAGAAUAUUAAUGACCCAUGAAAUUUAUUCUUGAAAAGCUCGGUGUUUUCGAAGUUAUUUCCUAAUCUAUUUUCCAAGUUAUUAUAUAGAUCUUAAGAUUAUUGAAUACUUAUUUGUUAAAUUGAAGCAAAUUACUCUGUCAUGAAUUUUAUUACAUCUACAUUUUUAUCUAUUGUACUUAAAUUUGACCUUUUUAUAGCAAGGGUAAAACUUAUCUGCACCGAAUGUAUACACCAAAUCAAUACAUGCAUGCUAUGUGUUUAAAUUUAUAGUUUAUUUUACUUAACUAUAAUUAAUUAACAUAUAUUUUACUUCAUCAAAUCACGUAAUAAUGAAAAUUGCAUUAGUUGAGUGCAUAUAUUCGGUGCGAAUACGUUUUUUCCUAUAUAUAAACACAUUUAUGUAAUGAGAAAUAGACAAUGUAACAAAGAAAAUUACAAGUUUAUUUUGUAGAAUAGUCUAGGUGUUCUUAUAAUGCAAAUGUGCUAUAUCUAUAUAUAAUAUAAUAGUGUUGUUCUGCCACAAAAUUAAGGGAAAAUGAUGAAAUUACAUCUCAUCAGAGGGUUUUUUUUUUUUUUGGCAACCAAUGUGAAAAUUACCAUUAACAAACAAACAAAACUUACAAACUAAGAGCAUUUCAACCUCAGUACCUUAACUGGUAUUAGAGGAGUGACCUCAUCAACUCAAACUACUUACAUAAAUUCUACCAAAAACUCCUACAUCUAUGUGCUCUUUUGGUAUUCUUAUGCAUGUCUAUCCUCGCUAUAAGUUCUCGAAUUAUUCCCUCCACUAUGUCAGUAUACUGUAUUUGUACUCCUUUGAAAUGCUUCCAAUUCCUUGCCUUCCAGAUGUGAUACACUAUUGCUCCCCAAAUAGCAGUCACCACCUCUUUCUUAAACUUCUUCCAAUGCUUCAACUUUAUCAUCUCCAAUGUAGUUUUUAACUCUUUUGCGGGAAUAAAGAUGUUGGCCCAUUGUAGUAAUUUAGCUCUCACCUUUGCAACAUAUUCACACUCUACAAACAUGUGCUUGUACGACUCUAUCAUUCCAUUUUGACACAGGCAGCAGCUAUUGUCUUCUACAUAUACUCCCAUAUUUAUCAACCUAUCCUUUGUGAGCAAUCUAUUUUGCAUUGCUAGCCACAAAAAGAACCUCUGCCUAAGUAAUACGACAGAGUUCCAAACUAAUUCAGCUACCUCAAGUUUCUCUUGAUUGCCUAUCAGAUCAUUAUAUCCACUUGUAAUUGAAUACUCCCCAUUUGUUGUAAGGUUGAACUGCCCUUACGUAUACCAUUGUUGCAUCAUAUUUUUCAGGGAGUUUAUUUUCCUCCAGUACCAACUACUAUCAACUGGUGCUUUGUGAGUCCAGACUGUAUCAGUUUUUAUGUAAAUCCCAUGCACCCAUUUCACCCAUAAGGAUUCCUUCCUCAUAACCAAUUGCCAUAAGAGCUUUCCAACAAUGGCUACAUUCCAUUUACCACAUCCUUUUAUAUUAAGUCCGCCCUGCUUCUUUGGAUAACAUAUUUUCUCCCAAGAAACCAAUGACACUUUCCUUUUUUCCUCAUUGCCUCCCCACAAAUAUUCUCUGCAUUUCUUGUCCACCUCUUUCACUACACUCUGAGGUAGGAUGAACACUGAGCCCCAAAAACUGUGUAUGGAGAACAAGACUGCCAAGAUCACUUGAAGUCUGCCUGCAUAGGAAAGUUGUUUUGCAUAGGUGUACUUGAUCCUGCUUGUUAUUUUAUCAACUAGUUGAUGGCAUUCCAUUUUUCCCCACCUUUUUGAUCUCAUCAGAGAGUUAUUAUUAAUAAAACACGAUCGGAUGUAUACACCCAAUUAAUACAAUUUCUAUUAUUUCAUGAUUUAAUGAAGCAAUUAUUUCGUAAUUUAAUGAAGCAAAACAUAUGUUAAUUAAUUAUGGUUAAGUAAAAUGAACUAUAAAUUUAAACACAUGACAUGCAUAUAUACACCCAAUGUAUACACCCGAUGUAGUGGACUCAUUUUAGGAUGCUUGGAGUCAUGUGACUUGCACAUAGAUGGGUCUGUUAAUGAUUUUAACAGAAGUUUCAUGAAGGAUGGAAUUUGCUAAGUUUUGAAUACAUUAAGGAUGAUUUUUGUUCAAUAUGAUAGUUGAAAGAUGUACAUUAAGUUUUGGUUAUAGAUAAAGAUGUUUUUGGUCAAAAACUCAAUAAAAGUAAUAUAAGUAGCAAAUCCUAGCAGGUUCUCUCACUCUUGCCUCUUUUUCUUCUCUCUAGCCUACAUUUAGGGUUUGUUGAUCGGUUCACAAUUCUCCUUCAAAGAUGAUCGUUUUGAGGAGCUCCGACGGAGAGACCUUUGAGGUCGAUGAGGCGGUGGCGCUAGAAUCGCCGACCAUUAAGCAUAUGAUAGAGGACGACUGCACUGACACCAGCAUCUCUCUACCCAACGUUACUAGCAAGAUCUUAGUCAAGGUCAUCGAAUACUGCAAGCGCCAUGUGGAGGUUCCUAAAGCUGAGGAUAAGACCGCCGAAGUGGAUCUCAAGACUUUCGAUGCUGAAUUCGUCAAAGUUGAUCAGAGCACCCUUUACGAUCUCAUGCUGGUAUGGAUCUUUUUAAAUCUAUAUGUAUAUCUUAGUUGAUUCGUAUGUGUUUUUGAUUACGAUGAUCCGAUGGUUCAAUUAUUAGUGUGCAGGAUUGCUGAUUCUUUAAUUAAUUUAUCUAAAUAACUAGAAAGAGGCAAAAGUCAUAUAACUUUUUUAUAUUCUAAAAUUAUAGUUGGAUGAAAUAUGUGACUCCUAUGGUAGAAAUGUCAUAUAGAAGCCAAGGGUGUGGCUUGGUGGUCAAUGAAAUGGUUGAGAGCCAUCAGAGGUUCAAUUCAGUGGAGACAAAAAACAUUAGGUGGUUCAUCCCAUCUAUCCUAGCUUCACCUGGUAUUUGUUGUUGAUGGGAGGUGGUAGAAAUCCCAUCGAAUUAGUCGAGGUGCGUGAAAGCCGACCAAGACACCACGUACAUCCAGUAAAGUGUCAAAGCAGUAGCAAAUAAGAGAAGAGCAGUAUCAAAACCAAAAAGAACGAAUGUUUCUAUAUUUGGAAGUUCUUUAAUUUUUCCAUUUACCCUUAGUGACAUUCUCUUAUAGGCAAUGAUAAUGUCAUUUAGUGACAUGUUUAGAUCACAUGUUCCAACUAAAAAGUACUUUCUAUGUGUUAGAACUUCCUUUAUCUUUAUUAAAUUCCAUUCCCAGUCAAGCACCACCUCCAUAUAAAAUUAACCAGAAGAUUAUUAGUUUUCUGUGAUCAGUUUGGUAAUUUUUUGUUAGGUUUUGUUUAUCUUGUGAAUCUAUGGUAGUUUGUCAAUUCACCUUUUACUUCUGGCUACCAUUGCCUAUCGACAUCGCUUUUGUUUGCUGUCUCUUCCAUAGACUGAGUUUCCGCUCUAGUUUGCUCCUGUUUAAGCUUCAAUGGUAAUAUACAUUUAGUUUAUUAGGGCGGUCACGAAUAAAUUAAUCAAUCAAUUAUGUCUCAGUCCCAAACUAAAUCAUUUCUUCCAUAUCCUUUCUGCUUUAUUUGGCUCCAAGGACAUGUCUAUGUGUAGUUGUUUUGUUGUAGUAAACAAUAAACUGCAGUUGGUUGUAGUUGUUUGAAGUAAUGAAAUGGCGUUUGACUGCUACUUCUAUAGUUCUAUUAGUCUGUUAUGUUUGGCAAAAAACAAUUCCCUUUGUCAUGGUUAAGUGAACUUUCUUUUGCUUAGUACAACAGUAUAGUACUAUAGUGGCUCAUUCUAAAACAAUGGGUAAGAACUAAGAAGAUUUGCUGUAACACUAAAAUUGAAAAUAAAACUAAAACAUAGUAACAUACUUGUAAUUGUAAAAUUAGAGUGAAGCAUAUAUUUUACCUUUAGAACAUGUAGUCAUACUUUAGUUUGUUGCCUAUUUUAAGAAAUAAAUGCUAUAUGGACAUGUUUGCAGCACAUUUUGUUUACAUGUUUGAUGUGCCUCUCUGUUCCACCUCCUGAGUUCUUGCCUGGGUAUUUUGAAUCUGUAGAGUGGCUAACAAUUGUUGAAUGUGUUUUUAAUUGUUAAAUUUUGCUGUUUCUUUUAAGCUUACUUGUAGGUUUCCAUUUCUUUUUAGUUAUUGCUAUUAGCAUUUAAUGAUUUACAAUGGACCCUCCCUCUUAGUAUCUAAUUUUCUCAAGUUUGUAGAGAUUUUCUUUUACCUUUUUCUGUUGAGAGCUUGUAUUUGAUGUUUACUGUGUUUAGGUGAUCUCACCCUAUGGCUGUUGUUACUGUUCCUUGCAUAUAGUUCUUUGCUAUUCGUUGCUAUGUUUCUCCACCUAUUUUUUCGUUUUAUUACUGCUUGGAGUUGCUUGAGCCGAGGGUCUUUCGGAAACAGCCUGCGUACACUUUACCCUCCCAAACCCCACUUUGUGGGAUUUCACUUGGUAUGUUGAUGUUGAGAGCUUGUAUAGAGGUUAAGUAUCCUUUGCGUUGUCUCUUUUCAGGCUGCCAACUAUUUAAACAUAAAGAGCUUGCUAGAUCUGACAUGUCAGACAGUAGCAGACAUGAUCAAGGGAAAGACGCCUGAGGAGAUAAGCAAGACAUUCGACAUCAAGGAUGACUUGACUCCUGAGGAAGAGGAAGAAUUCAGGAGGGAGAAUGCCUGGGCAUUCGAGUGAAUUUGAGUCUGUUAAGCAUCCAUAUCUGUAGAUAGAUCUGCAAUAUACUUUAGUAGAUGCUAUGAAUAACUUAUAUCAGUAAGUGUGUGACUGUUGUUUCUCGGACAUUCUGGCUUUGGCUGUUGAACAUCUUUUGCUCUGUUAUGCCGUGGUUUCUUAUGUUCUAAGUAAAAAUUGAAGGUAAAAUCAUGUUGGUAGCCGAUGUCCAUUUUCAUUGAUCUAUUAUUGGAAAUUCAUAUUGUUUGUUGUGUUUAUCA
This 14742-nucleotide long non-coding RNA is filed under the name Solanum tuberosum (potato). RNAcentral describes it as "long non-coding RNA (STUB_LNC010125)". Lineage: Eukaryota; Viridiplantae; Streptophyta; Magnoliopsida; Solanales; Solanaceae. The record is from RNAcentral.